CUACAAAAAUCAGUACUCGUACAAACACAAACAGUGUAAUGUAGGAGACAAGAAAUAUAAAACACC
RNAcentral lists this small RNA (66 nucleotides) under Arabidopsis thaliana (thale cress). RNAcentral describes it as "ATSL246560". Lineage: Eukaryota; Viridiplantae; Streptophyta; Magnoliopsida; Brassicales; Brassicaceae. The record is from RNAcentral.